AGUCAGUCAGUCAGUUGUCACUGAAAACAGGAUGGAGCUCCGUCCACUCUCUGUGAUUCUCUUGCUGAUUGUGCUCAUCCACUGUGGACAAACUAAAGAAAAACUCAAACCAGCAGUGAGGGUGGAGCCUCAGAGCACCGUCUACACUGGAGACACUGUUACUCUGAUCUGUGAACUGCAGACCUCACUCACUGGAUGGAAGUUUCUCUGGACUAAAGAUGCUCAGUCAGUACAUCUGAUUACUGAUGGAAACACCAACACAAUCAGUAUAACAGUGUCUAAUACAGGAACAGAAGAGUAUAAAUGUGUAGCACGCAGAGAAUUCUACACAGAUUACAGUG
This is a long non-coding RNA of Colossoma macropomum (tambaqui), 341 nucleotides long. RefSeq lists it as uncharacterized. NCBI's taxonomy places the organism in Eukaryota, Metazoa, Chordata, Actinopteri, Characiformes, Serrasalmidae. The record is from RefSeq and is a predicted model, not a curated record. The transcript has 3 exons.